UACGUAGGUGGCAAGCGUUAUCCGGAUUUAUUGGGCGUAAAGGGAACGCAGGCGGUCUUUUAAGUCUGAUGUGAAAGGCGGGGGCCCAACCCCCGGACUGCUCUGGAAACUAUGUUACUAGAGUGCAGGAGAGGUAAGCGGAAUUCCUAGUGUAGCGGUGAAAUGCGUAGAUAUAUGGAGGAACACCGGUGGCGAAAGCGGCUCUCUGGCCUGUAACUGACGCUGAGGUUCGAAAGCGUGGGUAGCAAACAGG
Molecule: ribosomal RNA, 253 nt
Filed under: uncultured bacterium
Lineage: Bacteria
Description: partial 16S ribosomal RNA
Rfam family: Bacterial small subunit ribosomal RNA
Source: RNAcentral